GUAGUCCACGCCCUAAACGAUGGAUACUAGGCGUAAGAGGUAUCGACCCCUCUUGUGCCGCAGCUAACGCAUUAAGUAUCCCGCCUGGGGAGUACGGCCGCAAGGUUGAAACUCAAAUGAAUUGACGGGGACCCGCACAAGCGGUGGAGCAUGUGGAUUAAUUCGAUACUAACCGAAGAACCUUACCCAGGUUUGACAUCGAAGGAAAGCCGAUGAAAGUCGGCCCUCCCCCAAAAGGGGACCUGAAGACAGAUGUUGCAUGGCUGUCGUCAGCUCGUGCCGUGAGGUGUACGGUUAAGUCCGCCAACGAGCGCAACCCUCGUCCUGUGUUACCAGCGAGAAAGUCGGGAACUCACAGGAGACCGCCGGUGUAAAUCGGA
RNAcentral lists this ribosomal RNA (380 nucleotides) under uncultured bacterium. RNAcentral describes it as "bacterial SSU rRNA". It matches the Rfam family "Bacterial small subunit ribosomal RNA", at positions 790 to 1167 of the family's 1533-position model. The record is from RNAcentral.